This 55-nucleotide transfer RNA is filed under the name Ophidascaris baylisi. RNAcentral's name for it is "tRNA-Gln". Lineage: Eukaryota; Metazoa; Nematoda; Chromadorea; Rhabditida; Anisakidae. The record is from RNAcentral.
UAUACUUUAGUUUAGGAAGAAUGUCUGUUUUUGGUGUAGAUGGGGGUAGGUAUAG